RNA transcript from Frankliniella occidentalis (western flower thrips), 4169 nucleotides. It is a transcript of the gene named PR domain zinc finger protein 15, with no coding region annotated. Lineage: Eukaryota; Metazoa; Arthropoda; Insecta; Thysanoptera; Thripidae. The transcript has 14 exons. The record is from RefSeq and is a predicted model, not a curated record.
CCUACUGCAAAUAAUUAAUUGUUCUUAUCCGCACUGCACUGCGCUAUUUUGUGGGGGAAAUCAAAGCACCAGGAGUCAGAAAUUGUUUUCCCCUCCCCCAGACAGUUUCUCUCUCUAUUUAUUAAGUAUUAAUUGCUAUUCGAAAUGCUUUUGGAAGCGUUAUAGCUAAAGUCUUUACCAUGACUGGAGAUGACACCUGUGACCGGUCCCUUGAUGAGAACUGCAGGACUCUGAACCUGCAAGUGUUUGUUUGUAGCGUAUGUGGAGAGGACCACGAAAGUAUUGAUUGUUCUGUAGUUCAAAAUCUUAAACGGAUCCAUGAUUCCAAGAUUUUGUCUCGUGCGAGGCAGACUCUACCCAAGGACUUUGCCGUAAAAUCUCUGGCUGAUGGAAGUACAACUGUUAUUACCAAUGUGCGCAUUGACCAAGGUACUCAGUUUGGCCCCUUUCAGGCUCCUUUGUCAAUUGAUUUGCCACCUGCUGUAUUGUUUCCUCUCAAAGUCUUUGGCAAGACACUAGAUGAUGGCUAUUAUUUGGAUACUUCUGAUGAAGAGUGUUGCAAUUGGAUGUGUCUUGUAGCCCCAGCCUCUAAUACCAGCGAACAAAAUCUUAUAUGUUAUGACGUCAAACAAAGCAUUUAUUUUGCUACAACAAGAGAUCUAGAACCAGGAGAGGAACUACGUUUGUGGUAUGCAUUGUACUAUGGACUGAAGCUUCAAGCCCUACCUUUGUCUGAUGAAUCAGCCCAAGAGGAUGGUUUUUAUGACCUGAUAGAUGAGGAGAAGCAGGGGAAAUCAAAUGGUGGUGUGUGUAUGAUGCUAGGGGAUGAUCUUCUCCAAACAUUAACUGAACACUUACCAGCUCAUGCCCUUGGAGCUUUUGGAGAAAGGGAUGUAUGGAUAUGCAAGUUGUGUGGGGUACAAGAAUCAAACGUGGCAAGCUAUGCUCGCCACCUUAUGGUUCAUUAUCGCCAACCAUUGCAUAAUAAUCGACAUCCACAAUGCACUAUCUGCUUUCGGCGUUUCUUCAGUAAAAAGAUAUUGGACAACCAUUUACUGAAACAUGAAAAAUGCAAUAUGUCGGACAUCGAAACUUCAGAAACAGCCCUUAAUAACAGCAUUGAAUAUAAGCAGUUCCCUGAAAAUAUUAAUGGGGCAGAAAUACCCUCAUGUGAAGAAACAACAGAUGGAGGCACAGUUUAUAACAACGGAGUUUUAAAUGAUGACAGUAAAAAUGCACACAUUAAUAGAUCAAAAAGUUAUUUUUGUCAUGAGAAAGAAUCAUUAUUAAAUUUAAAUAAUGGUGGCAAAGGUGAAAAUGCUGAAAAUGAAUCUGAAGAGGAACAAUCUGAGGUGUCUCAUUCAUCACCUGAUAGCUUUAUUAAACCGAAAGGACUUGAUAUGACUCUUAACCCAAAAUUACAUGAAGAAAAUGUUGGAAAUCUUAUUUCAUCAACACAAAUUAGUAACACAGAAGACUUGGUGAUUCAUUCAAGCAAUGGACAAAGCUUUGCCACAUCCAUCAAUUUACGCUCAUCUCAAGACAUUGAUCUUGCUUUAGAAAAUGGAGAACCUUUAACGUUUGUGAUGGUUGAAGCAACUGAUAAAAACGACCUACCAUCUGUUCCUUUUGUAGAUAACUGUGUCAAAUUGAAAGACACUUCAUCUGUGAACAACUUAUCAUCUAACACUGAGGAAUUAUCAAAUGCAGAUGUUUCUAAUGAACAGUUACAUCAAGAGCCAUCUGAAAAACAAAGAACUUUGUUUAACUGUGAUAUAUGCGAAAAGUCUUUUAGCAAAGGUGCCUAUCUUUAUCGACAUCUCCGCAAGCAUACUGGUGAGUUUACUUGUGUGACCUGCUUAGCUGUGUUUGCUCGUAAAGAAAAUUUGAAAACUCACUCCUGUACCCAGCCUAGAGAAUGGUUUCCGUGUCCUACAUGUGGAAGAAAAUUUUCAGCCAAAAAAUAUCUUCAGAGACAUGUUCCUAUACACACAGGAGAGUUCACUUGUUCAGAGUGUAACCGCCAUUUUGUGUCCAGACUUUCCCUAAAAUACCACAGAUGCAAUGUUAGUAGAAAUAAAUCUGGAAAUGUUACCAUUAACUGUAUAAUGUGUGACAGAAUAUUUAGUACAGAAUCAAAGCUAAGAGCACAUCUAAAGGUUCAUUCUGAUCUAAAAUCAACAGUUUUUAAUAAACCCAUGUUUUUAAAAUCAUCUCAUAAUGUUGAAAGGCUACUUAAAAGAAAAGAUGUAAAGGAUAACAGUGAAAAGCAACCAAACAAUAUAUCUGGAGGAAAGGUAUUUAUUUGUGAAAUUUGUGGGGCCAUAUUUAAAAGUUCAUCAAGUAUGAAGACACACAGGUUUUGUCAUGGAGAGAGGAAGUUUGAAUGUAGCAUAUGUGGAAAAAGGUUUCAUCGGAAGGAUGUACUACAAGAGCAUUCAAGAGUUCAUGAGGAAGCAAACUUUCCCUGUGAGCUAUGUGGCAAGAAGUACAAAACUAAGAAAUCUCUCUAUGUCCAUUCGCUUAUUCAUGAAGGGUCCAAGAGGUUUUCUUGCGGUGUUUGUGCAAAGGAAUUUUUCCAAAAAGGGAACCUAAUUAAACACGCACAAACUCAUACUUCUUCAAGAAUAUACUGCUGUCAGUAUUGUAAAAAAUCAUUUUCUUCAAAGGAAUAUUUUAAUAUUCAUCAACUGACUCAUACUCAAGGGAAUAUCUACAACUGUGAUGAGUGUAAAAGAGGCUUUGUUAAGAAACAUUUACUGGACACUCAUCGACAGUCAUUUCAUUCAAAUCGUGGAUUUCUCUGCAAAUUCUGUAAUACUCUUGUACGGCACAGGCAUUCCAUGCGUCGUCACUUAGAAAAGAGUCAUAAUGUGCUCCGUGACAAAUGGUCAAUGCCUGGCUUCAUUGAUAUUUUGCAGACUGAACUUCCACCGAACUUGUUAUCUUCUUUUGGAGAUGCAAAAUUAACUCCUAAAGAGCAACAGGAAAGACAGCACCAAAUAGAACUUUUGAGGAAAAAACAUUUCCAAAACAAAGUGGCGUCAAGUUUAGGUCCAACAUCCGAGUUUGCAUAUGCUUUGGUACCAGAAUCACAACCAAAUCAGUUUACCUUGAGUGAUCCCAUAAUAAUGCUUCAACCAUCACAGCAGUUAGCACUUGUCAACAAUAUCCAACCUGGCAAUCAGGAUGAAACAUUUCAAGCUACUAGACAGCUGCAAAUGGAUUCAGAAGAUGCUCCAGGUGAAGUAGUUUUCACUUUGGUGAAUCAAGAAAGUUCUCCGAAUAGCCCAAGCAAUACAACCCCACUUCUAAACUCAUCUUCCCUUGCAAGUACUAUUACUGACUUUGAUUCAGGAACCACGUACCUGAUGGAAAAUGGACAUGGUAAUGAGAGCAUACUUCUGUAUGUAGUAGAGACUUCAAAUGGAGAAGAUGACAAUUCAGAGGAUUUUUACAUGGUGCAGUAGCAGGGUUUGGAGAGGAAGAGUCUGAGGUGAAGCUGAAAGCUGUGAAAGGGAACUUCUCCUUGGCCUCCUUGUAAUAUUUUUAUGGUUUCUGGCGGAACCAAAAGUAGUUUUGUGGUCCCCUGGUUCACCCUUGUCGAUUCGACUACUUUUCCGUCGAAAUCCGGACCCAUCAAUUUUCGCUAAAAACACAAAGGCUAUAGCCUUUGUAUAUUUUGCCAAAAAUGAAAUCAUUAAAAAUCGCUGGAAAUGAUUGGAAUUGGCCUAGGAGAGUCGCCUUUGACCUUCUCUGUCGAAAUUGCGUGCUUCCUGGCUCUUUUACAUCCUGUUUCUUCGACUAAAACUGCCUUUUUGGUUUGUUGCAGGAACGUCAGCCUGGAGGUGUUCCUUCCGUCCUGGACAUCGGCCGUGCAGCCCAUGGAAUCCUCAGAUUUAAGUUGAGUUGGUGUCACAGUGAUAACCGUUGGGCCAGUUCUUUUUUUUACCCCCCCGUAAAUUCACCACCCACAUUGUGGAAGGGUCUAGCGGAGCCGUUCCGCUCAACGCUGUGGAGUCAGCGGACCCCUUGCAUGGGGACAAUACGUGCAACGCGUGACCUCACUGCGUCAAUGAGGGGGCUGGACGUGUCGCCCAAAGCCGUCCAAAAAACCUCCCCUCCCCCUGCCCUCCUCCCGGCUGCGGCUGCUGUGGAGGUAGUAGCGG